UCCGUAGGUGAACCUGCGGAAGGAUCAUUACUGAGUGCGGGCUGCCUCCGGGCGCCCAACCUCCCACCCGUGAAUACCUAACACUGUUGCUUCGGCGGGGAGCCCCCUCGGGGGCGAGCCGCCGGGGACUACUGAACUUCAUGCCUGAGAGUGAUGCAGUCUGAGUCUGAAUAUAAAAUCAGUCAAAACUUUCAACAAUGGAUCUCUUGGUUCCGGCAUCGAUGAAGAACGCAGCGAACUGCGAUAAGUAAUGCGAAUUGCAGAAUUCAGUGAAUCAUCGAGUCUUUGAACGCACAUUGCGCCCCCUGGCAUUCCGGGGGGCAUGCCUGUCCGAGCGUCAUUGCUGCCCAUCAAGCCCGGCUUGUGUGUUGGGUCGUCGUCCCCCCCGGGGGACGGGCCCGAAAGGCAGCGGCGGCACCGUGUCCGGUCCUCGAGUGUAUGGGGCUUUGUCACCCGCUCGACUAGGGCCGGCCGGGCGCCAGCCGACGUCUCCAACCAUUUUUCUUCAGGUUGACCUCGGAUCAGGUAGGGAUACCCGCUGAACUUAAGCAUAUCAAUAAGCGGAGGA
This 568-nucleotide ribosomal RNA is filed under the name uncultured fungus. RNAcentral's name for it is "partial 18S ribosomal RNA". The stretch from base 187 to 340 matches the Rfam family "5.8S ribosomal RNA". Lineage: Eukaryota; Fungi. The record is from RNAcentral.